AUUGAACGCUGGCGGAAUGCUUUACGCAUGCAAGUCGAACGGCAGCACGGACUUCGGUCUGGUGGCGAGUGGCGAACGGGUGAGUAACAUAUCGGAACGUAUCCAAUAAUGGGGGAUAACGAGUCGAAAGAUUCGCUAAUACCGCAUACGCCCUACGGGGGAAAGCUGGGGACCUUCGGGCCUGGCGUUAAUGGAGCGGCCGAUAUCUGAUUAGCUAGUUGGUGAGGUAAAGGCUCACCAAGGCGACGAUCAGUAGCUGGUCUGAGAGGACGACCAGCCCCACUGGAACUGAGACACGGUCCAGACUCCUACGGGAGGCAGCAGUGGGGAAUUUUGGACAAUGGACGCAAGUCUGAUCCAGCCAUUCCGCGUGCAGGAUGAAGGCCCUCGGGUUGUAAACUGCUUUUGUACAGAACGAAAAGGCUCUGGUUAAUACCUAGGGCUCAUGACGGUACUGUAAGAAUAAGCACCGGCUAACUACGUGCCAGCCGCCGCGGUAA
RNAcentral lists this ribosomal RNA (500 nucleotides) under uncultured bacterium. RNAcentral's name for it is "partial 16S ribosomal RNA". It matches the Rfam family "Bacterial small subunit ribosomal RNA", at positions 30 to 523 of the family's 1533-position model. The record is from RNAcentral.